This is a long non-coding RNA of Cyprinus carpio carpio, 514 nucleotides long. NCBI's taxonomy places the organism in Eukaryota, Metazoa, Chordata, Actinopteri, Cypriniformes, Cyprinidae. The record is from Ensembl.
AUGGAGGAUAUGUGGAGAUAUUUCACUCUACCCUCUCUUGAUCUGGACUGCCUUCUCUCUGUGAAAUGGAAAAUCCGUCAGGAAGGAUUGCUGAACUCGCACCUGAAAACCAAUCUUGACUUUUCAAUCCGAGCCCUGGAGGCCUUUCCUGCAUCCAAGCGGUGUGACAUCUCUCUAACACUGGAAGGAGAGCGCCACCUGGUGCGUAUCACCACCAGAACACCUGCCCUGUCCUACAUGGUACAUCUGGGCUCAAAGGGGCCACAGCUCCUCCAAAGGACCCAUCUGGAAUCUCGACUCACAACCUCCAGCCUGGCAGAUAGCCACUUUGCUGGACAUCACUGUCAUGAUGAGUUGGAAAGCUGCUUUGAGCAGGCUAAAAAAGUCCUGAGCAGCGAAGGCUGAAAAUAAUCCAUCAGUUCUGGAUCACAUGGAGCUCAAGAUCACCUGUGGAGACCUGCACCUCAUGUACAGCACUCAUCAGCCCCUGCACACCCUCCACGCCAGAGAAUUU